AAGAAGUCUAAAAUGUUGCUAUGUAUCUUUCAUGUUAUCUCCAUGAACUGGUUUUCAGAAAACAGCAAAGCAAAAUACGAUGCUGUGUUUUCCAGAGAGGGUGGUCGAUUUCACUUUGAUGGUUAAUACAAAAUUUAAGAGCUCACUACAAGAAAGAAUGUACCAAGUUGUUUUUGGUGAUACACAUGACGAUUUUACCACAAAUUUGUGUCCCUUGGACCUUAUGAAGUGAAAUUACUUAGGGUGUGUUUCACGCGGGUUAGUCGCUAACAAUUAAAAAGGAUCAGAUGAUUGUGUAAGGGACAAACCUCUUGAGACAAAGUCCCAAAAAGGGGUGUUCUUUUAUUGGCGAUGACUUUACAAUUGGAAAUUAAAAACAACGUGCCUCCAAGGGGCGCAAGCACACGAGUUACUUGAAAGAAAAGUAUUUAAGUCUAAGCUAAGGAAAUGAAAAUUACAUGUUCUCUGUUCGAGAGUUUUUGAUUCGGUCCUUUGCUUCUAUGUCCUUUCUCCCUUUAUACUUCAUGGACGAUCUCUUUGUGAUCAACCGCCCUAAAAACUGCUUGAUCGUCCUAUAACUGCCCACUUUCUUUGUAAUGGCCAACUUGUCAUGAAAACUGUCUUUUUAAAUGCUGCCAUUACUCUUCAUCAUUCAACCGCCUUCGAUUGAAUCCCUUGAAUCGUGGAACGUGAUAGGGCUGCGUUGAUAACUGCUCUGAUAACUGCACUUCUUGAUAACCACGACGCUUUAUGUUUGUUAAGACCUUGGGCGACUUGAAGGUUUGGGCGAGAAUAGAGUAACAGCUCUGGGCGACUAUAUGACACUCCAUUCGCUCAGGUUCUGGGCGACUUGCGAACUUGGGCGAUGGCGUUACCGCGUUCUUGGGCCUCCCUAUUUGGGCCUUCAUCUUAAUUUGUUCGAUUGGGCUUCGUUCUUUGGGCUAUCUGAUUUGGGGAUCCUUCAAUUGGACUUCAUUUCUUGGGUUGUUCGAUUUGGGCUGAAUUUUUAUGUGUCAACAAUUACCCCCCAAUAUGGCAGAAUUAAUAAUAAUUAUUAAAUUUUGCCAUAUUUACUUUGUGUUUCCAGCAACAUUUGAAAUUCCUAAGAAUUUUAAUCAUUGUUUUCUUCUAUAACUUGAAAAGGUGCGUCGUUUUGCAAACCUUUAUAAACCCCAAACACGUCAUUUCACUGCACCAUCAAACCACGCCUCAAAUUUUUUGCGUCUCUCUCACGAUUCACUGUUCAUCUUUUGCUUCCUUGCUACGUAACCCUGAAAAGCUUCGUUCCUUCUCAAAUGGCUGCUUCACAAUCUCAAGCUAGCGAUUCCUUUAGUUUUGAUGACUUUCAGAGACUUCUGAGUCGCCCAUACAUAACUCUAAGUUUUCUCGUGCCCGCCGAUGUAGAACGUAAUGAGUUCUACUUGGGUCCUUUAUUCAACAAUGUAGAGACAGUUGAACAGGUGGCGGUGGGUCAGUUGUUUCCUUGCA
RNAcentral lists this long non-coding RNA (1488 nucleotides) under Olea europaea subsp. europaea. Lineage: Eukaryota; Viridiplantae; Streptophyta; Magnoliopsida; Lamiales; Oleaceae. The record is from RNAcentral.